RNAcentral lists this ribosomal RNA (111 nucleotides) under Enterobacter cloacae. RNAcentral also lists the same sequence under 24 other names. Lineage: Bacteria; Pseudomonadati; Pseudomonadota; Gammaproteobacteria; Enterobacterales; Enterobacteriaceae. The record is from RNAcentral.
UGGCGGCUUUAGCGCGGUGGUCCCACCUGACCCCAUGCCGAACUCAGAAGUGAAACGCCGUAGCGCCGAUGGUAGUGUGGGGUCUCCCCAUGCGAGAGUAGGGAACUGCCA